GUGCUCGCUUUGGCAGCACAUAUACUAAAAUUGGAACGGUAUAGAGAAGAUUAGCAUGGCCCCUGCGCAAGGAUGACACGUAAAAUGAGUGGAAAAAAAUCAAACUGG
This is a small nuclear RNA of Zalophus californianus (California sea lion), 108 nucleotides long. Lineage: Eukaryota; Metazoa; Chordata; Mammalia; Carnivora; Otariidae. The record is from Ensembl.